GAGACUUAACUCUGUCACCAGGCUGGAGCGCAGUGGCAAGGUCUCAGCUCAGUACAACCUCCAUCUCCCGGGUUCCAGCAAUUCUGCCUCAGCCUCCCACAGGUGCACACCACCAUGCCCAGUUAUUUUGUAUUUUUAGUACAGACAGGGUUUCACCGCGUUGGCCAGGAUCUCUAGAUGUUGUGAUCCGCCUGCCUUAGCCUAAGUGCUGGGAUUACGGGUGUGAGCCACCAAGCCUGGCUGCAUUUAACAUGCCCUCUUAAACACUGCCUCACUCCUCUUAGCUUGUAAGAAAAAUCAAGCUGUGUUCCCCCACAAUCAUAGCUAGUAACUAGCUUCCAUUCUCAAACCAACCCUGACCUCAACACCUUGGCAAGCAAGCUCUACAGUCCACCAAACUCCAAUCUCACCCACCUCCCUCAAACCUGUCUCCAUCAAGUUCCAAAUGGCUUAACGGCUGUCCCACCUCCCCUAUGCCAGUAGGUAACUUUACCUUCUAGAUGAUCCCCCUUCAGUCCCAUCCUUCAGGGUACUGAACAUUUAUGUUGGCAGCCAGUGCAGGGGGCUUGACAAAGUUUCCAUUGUGACUCACGUCAUGAGGCAAGCAAUUCUGGCAAUCUUCAGGCGGAGGUGCGCCAGGUAGUAGAGGCUCAUACAACUCAUCAGCUAGGGAUACAACCUCCCGUUGCUACCAUCGAUUUUUCCUCCACUACACUGCAGGAAGCUAAAGAAUCGGUCUAACUCAUCUUGCACUCAACCCAGACUUACGGUCCUAUUGGUCAGGACCUAAUAUCCAUUUUCCCAAUAAACUGCCAAUAUAAAGUGAACCCAAGGGGGACCCACCUGAGACUAGGUUUCAGGGCCUUUAGAACUGAAGCUAUCAUGCUAGUUUCCUUCAACAGUACCAUUCAGAUUCUUGGCUGAUGUCACCACAGCCACCUCCACAAAAAUGAACCACAAACAUGCAGUCGUAUUUAUUUUAAUUCAUAAAUACAUUAACAUAGCAGAUUAGGCAAUUUGUUAGGUAAAUUACAAAUACAUUAGAAAUCAUACAAAAGUGGCCGGGCAGGGUGGCUCACAGCUGUAAUCCCAGCACUUUAGGAGGCUGAGGUGGGCGGAUCACGAGGUCAGGAGUUGAGAACAGCCUGGCCAAUAUGGUGAAACCUCAUCUCUACUAAAAAUACAAAAAUUAGCCAGGGAGGCUGAGGCAGGAGAAUCGCCUGAACCUGGGAGGCGGAAGUUGCAGUGAGCAAGAUCAUGAAAAGCAAAAUACUCAAGGACUUUUAAUAUAACCACCAACACAGUGUGCCUUCUGGCCAAGCAGAGUCACUUCUGUGGUUCUUAAAGUAUGAAUGAGGUGAAAGAAUGUGCAUUCCUAGCUAAAUGCCAAAUUCCAAAGCCUUUAGUACAAAAACAGCAGACUUUCUGCAAAACAGGUCGACUUUUAAAAGAGGUAUGAGGGCUGGGCGUGGUGGCUUAUGUUUGUAAUCCCAGCUACUUGGGAGGCUGAGGUUGCAGCCAAGAUUGCGCCACUGCACUACAGCCUGGGCGACAGAGCAAG
This 1561-nucleotide long non-coding RNA is filed under the name Homo sapiens (human). RNAcentral describes it as "non-protein coding lnc-TAF12-2:1". The record is from RNAcentral. Lineage: Eukaryota; Metazoa; Chordata; Mammalia; Primates; Hominidae.